CCCCAGUGACAGACAACUGGUCUAACGUUAGCCAUGCAGGGGAGGCUGAGCUGUAUGAUAUUCCAUUGAAGAGAUGUCUCAGCAACGAUGGUGCAGCAAUAUUACAGCAUUUUCUAUCAGCCUGCGCUACAAGCCAGUAGAGGGAGUCCAAGACUUGAAUCCUGUUACAACCUUUCGGGCCUCAAAAAUCUGUCUGAGCUGCAAGAGGCAG
This is a long non-coding RNA of Cottoperca gobio, 211 nucleotides long. RefSeq lists it as uncharacterized. NCBI's taxonomy places the organism in Eukaryota, Metazoa, Chordata, Actinopteri, Perciformes, Bovichtidae. The transcript has 3 exons. The record is from RefSeq and is a predicted model, not a curated record.